This 841-nucleotide long non-coding RNA is filed under the name Callithrix jacchus (white-tufted-ear marmoset). Its description in RNAcentral is "lncRNA (ENSCJAG00000059265.2)". Lineage: Eukaryota; Metazoa; Chordata; Mammalia; Primates; Cebidae. The record is from RNAcentral.
AGAGAGGAAAACACGCGCGCGCACACACGGUGAUAUCUUGCGGGUGAUGAAUAUGAUAAUUGGACAAGGGACGGUGAGUCGGUGCGACAGCGAGCGGGGCGAGUGGGAGAGGGAGAGGGGAGAGAGAGAGGCGGGCGGGGAGGGGAGAGGAGAAAAGAGGAGCAGGGGAGAGGCGAGGAGAGCGAAGACGAGAAGAAUAGAAGAGGAGCGAAGGGAAGAGGAGAGGGCAGGAGAGGAGGAGAGAGACGAGCGGAGGAGAGGAGAGAGCAGCGGAGGAGGAGAGAGGAGAAGGGUAAAAAGAAGAGCGAAGCGGAGAGGGAGCAGGCGGACCCGGCGAGAGCUCUUUUGCGCCGCUCUGCUUUCCCCGGCUGCAAUGGUGUAUUAUUUCAGAGCGCUCCCUCAGCUGAGGGCUCCGCUCCACAACAAGAUUUACUUUAAGACACAGCUGAAGGAAACAGGAAGACUGCACGUCACAGUCUAUCUGACGUACCCGGCCCCAGCACCCAAUCGCGAGGCGCCUUCGGAUUCAAGGGGGGAUAGCAAGGCAAGAGAACUUGGGAGGAAAAAAAAUAUAAAAGGGGUGGGGGUGAGGGGCUGGGAAGAGAGGAGGGGAGAGGGGCCCCGCGCUCCCCCUCCCGGGCCUCCAUCCCCGGCCCCCACCCCCACCCCCGCCCUGCCACUGCUUCGGGGCGACUGGAUCGCCGCGCCGGGGGCCGGAGCGAGCCAUCUGCGGGCACUAUGCAAAGCGGGAGACGGCGCGAGCGGCGCCCAGCUCACGUUCGCUCUUCCAGGACGCAGGACAGAAGAGCUCCUUGGCACUGGACGCCUCCGGGUCUGGUGA